GUGCUCACUUUGGAAGCAUAUAAAUUAAAAUUGGAACAAUACAAGAUUAGCAUGGCUCCUGCACAAGGUCAAUAGGCAAAUUUGUGAAGCAUUUUAUAUUUUA
Molecule: small nuclear RNA, 103 nt
Organism: Gracilinanus agilis (Agile Gracile Mouse Opossum)
Lineage: Eukaryota; Metazoa; Chordata; Mammalia; Didelphimorphia; Didelphidae
Source: RefSeq, a predicted model, not a curated record